GCUCAGAUUGAACGCUGGCGGCAGGCCUAACACAUGCAAGUCGAAUGGUAGCACAGAGAGCUUGCUCUCGGGUGACGAGUGGCGGACGGGUGAGUAAUGUCUGGGAAACUGCCUGAUGGAGGGGGAUAACUACUGGAAACGGUAGCUAAUACCGCAUAACGUCGCAAGACCAAAGAGGGGGACCUUCGGGCCUCUUGCCAUCAGAUGUGCCCAGAUGGGAUUAGCUAGUAGGUGGGGUAACGGCUCACCUAGGCGACGAUCCCUAGCUGGUCUGAGAGGAUGACCAGCCACACUGGAACUGAGACACGGUCCAGACUCCUACGGGAGGCAGCAGUGGGGAAUAUUGCACAAUGGGCGCAAGCCUGAUGCAGCCAUGCCGCGUGUAUGAAGAAGGCCUUCGGGUUGUAAAGUACUUUCAGCGGGGAGGAAGGUGUUGUGGUUAAUAACCUCAGCAAUUGACGUUACCCGCAGAAGAAGCACCGGCUAACUCCGUGCCAGCAGCCGCGGUAAUACGGAGGGUGCAAGCGUUAAUCGGAAUUACUGGGCGUAAAGCGCACGCAGGCGGUCUGUCAAGUCGGAUGUGAAAUCCCCGGGCUCAACCUGGGAACUGCAUUCGAAACUGGCAGGCUAGAGUCUUGUAGAGGGGGGUAGAAUUCCAGGUGUAGCGGUGAAAUGCGUAGAGAUCUGGAGGAAUACCGGUGGCGAAGGCGGCCCCCUGGACAAAGACUGACGCUCAGGUGCGAAAAGCGUGGGGAGCAAACAGGAUUAGAUACCCCUGGUAGUCCACGCCGUAAACGAUGUCGAUUUGGAGGUUGUGCCCUUGAGGCGUGGCUUCCGGAGCUAACGCGUUAAAUCGACCGCCUGGGGAGUACGGCCGCAAGGUUAAAACUCAAAUGAAUUGACGGGGGCCCGCACAAGCGGUGGAGCAUGUGGUUUAAUUCGAUGCAACGCGAAGAACCUUACCUGGUCUUGACAUCCACAGAACUUUGCAGAGAUGGAUUGGUGCCUUCGGGAACUCUGAGACAGGUGCUGCAUGGCUGUCGUCAGCUCGUGUUGUGAAAUGUUGGGUUAAGUCCCGCAACGAGCGCAACCCUUAUCCUUUGUUGCCAGCGGUUAGGCCGGGAACUCAAAGGAGACUGCCAGUGAUAAACUGGAGGAAGGUGGGGAUGACGUCAAGUCAUCAUGGCCCUUACGAGUAGGGCUACACACGUGCUACAAUGGCGCAUACAAAGAGAAGCGACCUCGCGAGAGCAAGCGGACCUCAUAAAGUGCGUCGUAGUCCGGAUUGGAGUCUGCAACUCGACUCCAUGAAGUCGGAAUCGCUAGUAAUCGUGGAUCAGAAUGCCACGGUGAAUACGUUCCCGGGCCUUGUACACACCGCCCGUCACACCAUGGGAGUGGGUUGCAAAAGAAGUAGGUAGCUUAACCUUCGGGAGGGCGCUUACCACUUUGUGAUUCAUGACUGGGGUGAAGUCGUAACAAGGUAACCGUAGGGGAACCUGCGGCUG
RNAcentral lists this ribosomal RNA (1508 nucleotides) under Enterobacter cloacae. RNAcentral's name for it is "bacterial SSU rRNA". It matches the Rfam family "Bacterial small subunit ribosomal RNA". The record is from RNAcentral. Lineage: Bacteria; Pseudomonadati; Pseudomonadota; Gammaproteobacteria; Enterobacterales; Enterobacteriaceae.